Molecule: long non-coding RNA, 298 nt
Organism: Centropristis striata (black sea bass)
Lineage: Eukaryota; Metazoa; Chordata; Actinopteri; Perciformes; Serranidae
Exons: 3
Source: RefSeq, a predicted model, not a curated record
CGUAUUGGACGGACAGUUUGACGUCACCAACAACAACAACAACAAUGAAGAAAUAAGAAACAUGCAGUUAUUCUGAUUAUACUGGAAAAGAAACAUACCCUGGAGGCCAUGUUGGCGUGUCUCAUACCUUAAAGAGUCGAUCGGAGCCCUGAAGUGCUGCUGUGGGAAGACCAUCACAGGACUGGAGUUGACGGGCAGAGCCAGUCUGUUGUUCAGAAUCCAUUAUGAAACACAACUGCAGAAUCAAAGGACAACACAUCCAGGACAGAUGCUCACAGGGGACAGAGGCUACCACACA